This 1433-nucleotide ribosomal RNA is filed under the name Paracoccus sp. MT-concat. RNAcentral's name for it is "bacterial LSU rRNA". It matches the Rfam family "Bacterial large subunit ribosomal RNA", at positions 1362 to 2925 of the family's 2925-position model. Lineage: Bacteria; Pseudomonadati; Pseudomonadota; Alphaproteobacteria; Rhodobacterales; Paracoccaceae. The record is from RNAcentral.
AAGCUAAUCUGAGCAGGGUAAGCCGGCCCCUAAGGCGAGGCCGAAAGGCGUAGUCGAUGGGAACCAGGUUAAUAUUCCUGGGCCAGGAGAUGGUGACGGAUCGCAGGUGUAGUUCCUCCUUAUCGGAUUGGAGGGGCUGCUGAGCGGUUCCUGGAAAUAGCCCUCCACAAGACCGUACCCUAAACCGACACAGGUGGACUGGUAGAGAAUACCAAGGCGCUUGAGAGAACCACAUUUAAGGAACUCGGCAAAAUACCUCCGUAAGUUCGCGAGAAGGAGGCCCGAUUGGUGCGCAAGCAUCGGUCGGGGGCACAAACCAGGGGGUGGCGACUGUUUACUAAAAACACAGGGCUCUGCGAAGCCGUAAGGCGACGUAUAGGGUCUGACGCCUGCCCGGUGCCGGAAGGUUAAAAGGAGAGGUGCAAGCCUUGAAUUGAAGCCCCGGUAAACGGCGGCCGUAACUAUAACGGUCCUAAGGUAGCGAAAUUCCUUGUCGGGUAAGUUCCGACCUGCACGAAUGGCGUAACGACUUCCCCGCUGUCUCAAAUGUGGACUCAGCGAAAUUGAACUGUCUGUGAAGAUGCAGACUUCCCGCGGUUAGACGGAAAGACCCCAUGCACCUUUACUAUAGCUUCGCACUGGCAUCAGGAUUGCGAUGUGCAGGAUAGGUGGUAGGCAUUGAAGCGGGGACGCCAGUUCCCGUGGAGCCAUCCUUGAGAUACCACCCUUCGCACUCUUGAUGUCUAACCGCGGCCCGUUAUCCGGGUCCGGGACCCUGCGUGGUGGGUAGUUUGACUGGGGCAGUCGCCUCCCAAAGAGUAACGGAGGCGCGCGAAGGUUGGCUCAGAGCGGUCGGAAAUCGCUCGUUGAGUGCAAUGGCAGAAGCCAGCCUGACUGCAAGACUGACAAGUCGAGCAGAGACGAAAGUCGGCCAUAGUGAUCCGGUGGUCCCGAGUGGAAGGGCCAUCGCUCAACGGAUAAAAGGUACGCUGGGGAUAACAGGCUGAUGAUGCCCAAGAGUCCAUAUCGACGGCAUCGUUUGGCACCUCGAUGUCGGCUCAUCUCAUCCUGGGGCUGGAGCAGGUCCCAAGGGUAUGGCUGUUCGCCAUUUAAAGAGGUACGUGAGCUGGGUUUAGAACGUCGUGAGACAGUUCGGUCCCUAUCUGCCGUGGGUGUAGGAUACUUGAGAGGAGUUGCCCCUAGUACGAGAGGACCGGGGUGAACGUUCCACUGGUGGACCAGUUGUCGUGCCAACGGCAGUGCUGGGUAGCUAUGAACGGACAGGAUAAACGCUGAAGGCAUCUAAGCGUGAAGCCCCCCUCAAAACAAGGUAUCCCUUGAGAGCCGUGGAAGACCACCACGUCGAUAGGCCGGAGAUGUAAGCGCAGCAAUGCGUUCAGUUGACCGGUACUAAUGGCUCGAUUGGCUUGAUU